RNAcentral lists this unclassified non-coding RNA (334 nucleotides) under soil metagenome. RNAcentral describes it as "partial contains 5.8S ribosomal RNA, internal transcribed spacer 2, and large subunit ribosomal RNA". The stretch from base 5 to 119 matches the Rfam family "5.8S ribosomal RNA", at positions 40 to 154 of the family's 154-position model. The record is from RNAcentral.
GAUGAGAACGUAGCGAAAUGCGAUAAGUAAUGUGAAUUGCAGAAUUCAGUGAAUCAUCGAAUCUUUGAACGCACAUUGCGCCCGCCAGUAUUCUGGCGGGCAUGCCUGUUCGAGCGUCUUUUCAACCAUCAAGCCCCCGGCUUGUGUUGGGGACCUGCGGCUGCCGCAGGCCCUGAAAACCAGUGGCGGGCUCGCUAGUCACUCCGAGCGUAGUAAUACAUCUCGCUCAGGGCGUGCUGCGGGUUCCGGCCGUUAAAAAGCCUUAUUUACCCAAGGUUGACCUCGGAUCAGGUAGGAAGACCCGCUGAACUUAAGCAUAUCAAUAAGCGGAGGA